This 377-nucleotide ribosomal RNA is filed under the name uncultured soil bacterium. RNAcentral describes it as "bacterial SSU rRNA". It matches the Rfam family "Bacterial small subunit ribosomal RNA", at positions 26 to 429 of the family's 1533-position model. The record is from RNAcentral.
AGAACGAACGCUGGCGGCAGGCCUAACACAUGCAAGUCGAACGCUGUAGCAAUACAGAGUGGCAGACGGGUGAGUAACACGUGGGAACAUACCCUUAGGUUCGGAAUAGCUCAGGGAAACUUGAGGUAAUACCGGAUAAGCCCUUCGGGGGAAAGAUUUAUCGCCAUUGGAAUGGCCCGCGUCUGAUUAGCUAGUUGGUGGGGUAAUGGCUCACCAAGGCGACGAUCAGUAGCUGGUCUGAGAGGAUGACCAGCCACACUGGGACUGAGACACGGCCCAGACUCCUACGGGAGGCAGCAGGUGGGGAAUAGUUGGACAAUGGGCGAAAGCCUGAUCCAGCCAUGCCGCGUGAGUGAAGAAGGCCUUAGGGUUGUAAA